Long non-coding RNA from Metopolophium dirhodum (rose-grain aphid), 1560 nucleotides. RefSeq lists it as uncharacterized. The transcript is spliced from 7 exons. NCBI's taxonomy places the organism in Eukaryota, Metazoa, Arthropoda, Insecta, Hemiptera, Aphididae. The record is from RefSeq and is a predicted model, not a curated record.
UCGCCGAGCGGUGGUGGUAAAAUUAAUUUGCCUUGACGGUGCCGCCGCGGUAGACGUAAAAUUGUGUCCGGCCUAAUUUUGCCGUAACCGCCACCGCUGCCACUGCAGCAGGGAUUUGGGGAAGUGGUUCGUAGCGAAUUUGUCUGACGGUACCUCUUAUCAGCUCUUAAUCAUCGGUAUCACGCUAUCACAGCGUACUUGCGUUAUCUAAGAAACAUUCCUGAAGGUUUUGGAUGUUUGAAAAAACUGUAGAAAAUACGAAUGCCCAUCAAUAAAAAUUGGAUAAUACAAUGAAUCCUAUACUCGUUGAACUAUAUUAUGUACUGUUAACCGCAGUUCAAAAGAACUUUAGAUUAAGUAUGAGCCAAUAUGAUGAGCUGAUAUCUCAAGAGUUGGUGUUUUGUUAGUGGCUGGAGGGCAAGGUACAACGCUUGGAGUUAACUACCCUAAACGAAAGGGUUAACUGUUGUUGGCAUUAAAGGUUAUGGAAGUAGUGGGUACGGCAGUAUUAUUUUGGUGGCUGCAAUUCAAAAUACAAACUAUAUUUGCACGUGCCAAUUUGAUCGAGCUCUUCAAAUUUGGGGUAUCAAUUAUCCAGAAUGGGACAACCAAGGAGUUGGUAGUGAUAGUUUGAAAAUUCCUCAACAACCUAAUAAAAACUCAGGGGUCCAAUCAAAGUUAAGAUAGUCAUGGCCCAAUGAAGUCAAUUUAUAUGUCUAAUAAUCCAUACCUUAUGGAAACCCAGAAGACUGUGCAUUUUUUCAAUAUUAUACUCCGUUUAACGAGAGAGUGUGACUGGGUGGCGACCAAAACAUGUUCAUUUUCCCGCAUCCCCACCACAUUCCUGUCAAUGUUGCCUACCAUCAGUAUUUGUCGAUCGCCGUCGUACCCCCGAACGACAUUGUUAUAAUAUACUUAGCGGUUACUGGUGUAAUCAUGUUUAUUAUUAUUACAUGUUUUAUGUCGCAGUUAAUAUUUGUGGUGCGUUACUUGAGCCACUGUAUACAGAGAGCGGACGCCACAUGGUGGGGGAAAUUUGGCCUCACGAUGUCGGAGCUAAUUCAUUUCGAUGCACAUGGUUGUCGCACUCUCUAUUGGAAUGGAGUACAGUGUUUAUCGCUAGAUGAAGACGAUGACAGUAAGCCCAAGAUUCAACACAUGUACCAUUAACAAAAUAAUUAGCAAAAUCAACAGCGUCAUUAGCCGACAAUUGGUUUAUAGCUUCUUCAAAAAUUAUUUCAAAGGCUUUAGUAUCUUGUUCAUGAAGUAAAGUCCUCAAAAGUUUUAUAAUCUAUGUUUUGGAUGUUUCAUUUCAACAAUCCAUGCAUUGAAAAAACUUUCAGCCAUGUCGGACAUGAAUGUUUGGCUACAAUAAUUGUCCUGUUAAUUAUCAGCACUGCCUCAUCGAUACGAAUACUAAUCAUAAGGCACAUGGAAAACCUUCUCUCAUAUCGUCAAGUACAAGAGUGUUGUUAUUAAAGUGAUAGGAAUUCAUAUCAUGAGUUUCAUCUAUAAAAAUUACAUCAUGUCCAUAUUUUUCCAACAUAGACUGUUGAUAAU